CAGAGUAGGUUUCAUGCGUUCGGGUUUACCCCGUGAAGUGCUGUGAGAUGGGAAGUCGCCCACAGACGAAAAGCUUCGGCUUACGGUAUGAUUCCGCAUCCGCUGU
RNAcentral lists this non-coding RNA (106 nucleotides) under human gut metagenome. RNAcentral's name for it is "THF riboswitch". It matches the Rfam family "THF (Tetrahydrofolate) riboswitch aptamer". From Rfam's summary of the family: THF riboswitch presents a pseudoknot that joins P1-P2 and the loop of P3 and two THF binding. The record is from RNAcentral.